AUAUAUGGGAUUGACAUAGUAUCCAAUUCCAUUUAUUUGCUAUAUCUAUUUGUUCUGAUCAAUCUAAAUUACUCUUAUGUCUUAUAGUUUGAAUUACUAUAUUUUUGAUUUCCAAUCUGAAUCUCGGUAUCUAUUGAAAGAAUCAAAUCAAUGAAGGAAAAGCGAUAGAUAUAGGCAGAUUCAAAAAAUCACGUAGUAAUUUCCAAUCUGAAUCUUGGUAUCUAUUGAAAGAAUCAAACCAAUGCGUCUCAGGAGCCUCCCACUGUGAAUUCAUCUCCAUCUUUCCCAUUCUACCAAUAGAUCUACCGCACCACCUCAUACCCUCCCCAAGCUCCACCACCAGAACAAAACCCUCAUGUACUAAUCUUCCCUGUCUUUGUGGCACCUCCACCUGCCACUGUGCAAAAGAUCUUCCAGUGAGCCACAGUUUCAAGCUCACGAUAGUCACUACUAUCCCCCUGAGCCUACCUUUAAAGUUCGUGAGCCAUAUUCUUACACCCCUCACUUUGAGCUCCCGGUGGAUAUUGAAAAGCAGCUUAGAAACCCGGAGCAAGAAGAGAUGAUUCAAAAAUUAAAAAGCCUGGAGCUGUCCUUCAGGAACAUAAAAGGGUUGGGUGGCCAAGUCAGUGUGGACUAUAAAGAUUUUUGUCUAUUCUCGGAUGUUCAGUUACCCACAGGGCUCAAAAUGCCAAAAUUUGAUAUGUAUGAUGGGCACGGUGUCCCAGUAGCCCACCUGAGGGGAUUUUGCAAUAAAAUGAGAGGGGUCGGUGGGAAAUAUGAAUUAAUGAUGGUGUACUUCAGCCAGAGUUUCAGUGGGUGUGCUUUGAAGUGGUAUACACGACAGGACCACGACAGGUGGUAUACUUGAGAUGACUUGGCACAAGCAUUCGCCUGCCAUUUUCAGUACAAUCUAGAAAUUGUUCCAGAUUGCCUGUCAUUGGUAAAACUUGAGUAAAAGCCCGAGAGAGUUUUAGGGAGUAUAUGUUUCACUGGAGAGAACAGGCUGUGAGGGUCGAUCCUCAAAUGAUGGAAAGCGAAAUUGUGGAUUAUUAUUACAGGCUUUGGAGCCAAAUUACUUUGCUUACCUGGUGAUGGCAAUUGUUAAAUUUUUUAAAGAAGUGGUGAAGAUGGGAGCUAUGGUCGAGGAAGGAUUGAAAUUUAAUAAAAUCAUGAGCUAUUGAGCUAUUAAAGUAACCACUCAGUCCAUCCAAAGCGGCACCGAGGGUGUACUGGGAAAGAAGAAGAAAGAAGAGGUUGCAGCAGUCGAAACCGAAGCUUGGUCCAGAUCUAGAGGCCCUUCACCCUACUAUCAACCCACUCCCCACCAUCCAAGUCACCCAUAAACCUAAUAUAGUCCUCCAAAACACUACUACCCAUCGCCAGACCCAUAUUUUUGCCAUUCACCAUGCUCAAACUUAUACUCAGCCUUCGGCUCAUGUGCAAUGGCGUGCACCGGCUCCUAAAAAUACAUAUCCACCCCCGAGGGCCUACAAAAAUCCUCCAGGAUCUUGUUUCCGUGGGAAUCAAGCCUUUCGGAAUGAAAGGGUACAAAAGUAGAAAACAUUCACUCUACUGGGGGAGUCAUAUACCAGUCUUUCCCACAAGUGAGGCAGCUAAGCCUAUUGAACCCGAUCGAGCUUAAAGUUAUAAAUCCCUUUCCUAGAAAUCUGGACCAGUUAGUGAGUUGUGAAUAUUGUUCGGGGAGCCAAGGCAUGACACUGAAAAAUGCUGGAAACUGAAAAUGGUUGUGCAAGAACUAAUUGACAAUCAUCGGAUUGAGGUUUAGGGGUGGAAAGUAAGCCAAUUGAAAGGGGUGGAAAGUAAGCCAGAUGUGGUAAUCGAGAAAGGGUCAUCAAGCAGUGUUACCGUAAAACCCGAGCCAGUCAAAGUGGUGGUGCAAGGGGUAGCAAACAAACCUAUGAUGGUUGUGAAAGGAGCUCGCACAGAUCUUGUUAUCGUAAAGCGAGCAACUCAGUUGCCAUUGACCAACAACAAAACUAUUCCUUGGAGUUAUGAACAAGUGGGAGGACAUAUAAGGGAAUGUAAGUAUGAAUUGUUGUUCGCCGAGGUAAACAUGGUUGAAGCAGAGAAGGGGUCAAGCAGGGUAAAAGUGUAGUUCGUCUGACCAUGGGUAAAAGUCAAUGACUGGAAGUCUUAGUAGUGGGUCUUGUUUUCCUUAAUCUAUGGAUUAUUCAAGGGUCUACUGUCCAUAUACUAUGUUUCGUCCGUUUUGAUGAGUUAAAACCUUGUUAUUUUUUCCUUCAAUGAAAUGCAAUUGUCUUUCUUUCGUCAUUCUUAAUUCUAUUUCAGUUUGCUUUUCUCAUAUGUACAAUUCAUUUUAUGCUGGUAUCAAUAACAUGAUAUGCCUGAGGAAUCCUCAGCCUAGUCUUGAAAGAAGGUCUUACUCUGAAGUAAUAAUACAAGAAAUUGAAAGUGAUAAUGAGUUCGAACAUGAUCAUGGUUUCACCCACCUUGAACAUUUGAGUUUGAUUAAUGAAAAGAUGUUAGUAUCAGUGAGUCAUGGCCAAUUGCACCAACAAAAUUGCAAGAGCGUGCAACAGGAAAGUGCAUCUGAGGAAGUUUUGAAGUUGGACAGUAGUGCUGAGACGUAUCUUGCCUCAUCAGGCUGAAGCAAAAGGAAAAUUUUCCCCAAAUUGGCAGGGGCCAUUUGUUGAAACUAGAGUAUUGUCUAGUUGUGCAUUAUAUCUAACAGAUGUGGAAGGAAAAUAUGUGGAAAUGGACAUCAACUCUGAUGUAGUCAAGAGGAACUAUGUAUGAUUUCUUUAUUUUGAUUGUACUUUUUUUGUAUUUGGCAUAUUUUGAAGAUUGAAAUGAAGAAGGCGUUUUGUUCUGCUAUCCGAAACACUUUAUCCCAUUUUACCCCUUUUUUGAGCCGGUUUUAUUUUUUUCAUACCCCGCUUUCGGAAUCAAUGGCAUAAUUAAGAAAUGCAAGUGCCAAAAAUAAGUAAAUGAAAAUAAGGAAGGAAAAGGAAAAGAAGGAGGAAAAGAAAGGAAAGAAGAAGAAGAAGCGGAAAAGAAAAAGAAAGGAAAGAAGAAGAAGAGGAAAAGAAAAUAAAGGAAAAGAAAAAUGAAAGAAUAAGAAGAGAAAAGAAAAACAAAGGAGAAGAAAAAGAAAAAAAUAGAAAAUAGAUGAAGAAAAAAGAAGAAGAACAAAAAAGGAGAAAAAAAGAACAUCACAACAACGUAGUUUCUAUGGCGUGAACUACAUUUUACUUGAUCCCGAAAGGGUACGUAAGCACCUCUUUGAGGUUCAGUCAUAUCAAAGUAAAAAUCCAAUAGUUACCAAGCAAGAAACUGGUACAGAAGUUGUGGCUAUUGCAUCGAAUGUUGAUAUUAUAGUUAAACCUAGGACCCCCCUUACUUUUACUUUUUUGUAUAAAUAUUCUCUAAAAUUUCCGUUUUACGUGUGCUAUUCUUCUUUCAAAAUUGUCCACUAUCUUGUAUUCUUUAUAUGCACAUUUUGCCUGUCUAUUUCUAUGCUUCUUAACGUCACAUCUAAGCAAGGCCGGGAACUACACUAGUGGAUCUUGAGGGGUGCCUAACACCCUCCCCUUGAGAUAAUUUCAAGCCCUUACUUGAAAUCUAGUUUUCAUUCAAAAAACAUUUUCUUCUUAUAGUGUCCUAAUGCACUAUAAUCAUUAGGUGGUGACUCUUCAAACUCUGCAACCCAAUUACCAAAAGGGAAUAAGAGUUGUUUUGUCUAUAAUAUCGUAAACUCAAUUUUGCCCUUUUAGGANNNNNNNNNNNNNNNNNNNNNNNNNNNNNNNNNNNNNNNNNNNNNNNNNNNNNNNNNNNNNNNNNNNNNNNNNNNNNNNNNNNNNNNNNNNNNNNNNNNNNNNNNNNNNNNNNNNNNNNNNNNNNNNNNNNNNNNNNNNNNNNNNNNNNNNNNNNNNNNNNNNNNNNNNNNNNNNNNNNNNNNNNNNNNNNNNNNNNNNNNNNNNNNNNNNNNNNNNNNNNNNNNNNNNNNNNNNNNNNNNNNNNNNNNNNNNNNNNNNNNNNNNNNNNNNNNNNNNNNNNNNNNNNNNNNNNNNNNNNNNNNNNNNNNNNNGGGGGGGGGGGGGGGGGGGCGAAAGGGGGCAUCAACACUGGUUUUUCGAUAUGCUAUUUUUGUGUGUUUCGCUUCCUAUUUUCUAAGUAAAGUCCGCAUUAGUGCGGGGGUUAGGUAAAUCCUUCCAGAUUUCAGAUUCCUAUUUAUGUUGUGAUCAGAUUGGUGGCGUAUUGGCACAUUGUGGCGUUUCAUGAGACUUUUGGAUUGCAUUUGGAGUGGCUUAUUGCCUGAGCAGUUCGUACUGGGUGAUACGAGAUUGUGGGAUUUAGGAUCAGUGCAAUCUGAUUAUAUGGAGUAUAUUAAGGAGCAAAGAUCAUUAUUUAGUUCAGAAUGUGGUAAUGUUUCUUGUCAGAAGUAUAAACUCAAUGAUUUGUUGAUUUACAAGUUGAUUAUGAAUUUCAGCACAUCUCUUCCGUCGUGGCGGUAUUGUAAGAGUAAGAGUAAGACCUGUGUAUGUCAGGAGAUGCAAAGGGAGCAUCAGAUUCGUGGAAUUUCGACUAUUAUGCUUAGAGGAUGGUAUUGUGGUCCUAUGGAUAAAGCGACGCAAGGUGUGAAUUCAGCAAAGUUAUGCAGCCGUGUUUGGAUAUAGCGUAUAGUGAUUAAUAUGGUGAUCGUAUGUUGGAAACUGGCCUGGCAUAGAAUUUUGGAUGUUGGAAUCGGGCUCUAAGGCUUAUUUGCUUGUAUAAAAGGAAAUAUCUUCAGAAUAUACCAAGCUAAUAUGCUCAGCUAAGUUGUGGCAGCACGGGAAGGUGCAUAAGGUGCUAAAUAAUGAUUUCAGACUACUUCAGUGUAGUUCCCAGCACGUUCGAGGAUGAAUGUAUGCUUAAGUAGGAGAGAAUGUAACGACCCGGCCGAUCGUUUUGAGCUCCAGCGCGUCAUUCAGCAGUCUGAGUUCAUGAGCAGCUUCAUUUCAGGUAUAUUGACUUGUGCGCGUGGUCAAAAUUGAAUUUCAGUAAGUUCAGAGUGGAUUUGGAAGGAUAAUUCUCAUUUUUGAAAGCUUAAAGUUGAAAAAAUGAACUAGCAUUGGAUUUUUGAGUAAACGACCUCGGAAUCGGGACCUGAAGGUUCCAGCAAGUUUGUAUGAUUAUUUCGGACAUGGGUGUAUGCCCGAUGAGGGUUUUGGAUAACUCGGGAGCGUUUUGGUGCCUAUUGUGGAAGUUAGCAUUUUGGAAGAAAUUUCUUAAGUUUGGCUUGAAGUGCACUUCAUAAUUAUCGAUGUCCGUUUGGGGUUUCGAGACUGGAAGUAGCUUCGUAUGGUGAUUCUCGAGUUGGGAGCACGAUCGGAAGUGAAUUCAAAUGUCCGUAAGUCAUUUUGAAGCCACCUGGCUAAAGAAAGAAAUUUGAAGGUUUUUGAGAAGUUUGACCAGAAGUGGACUUUUUGAUAUCGGGGUCGGAAUCCAAUUCCAGAAAUUAGAGUAGGUCCUAAUGUCAAAUAUGACUUGUGUGCAAAAUUUGAGGUCAAUCGGACGUGAUUUGAUAGGGUUAAACAUCGGAAGUGGAAGUCGGAAAGUUCAAAGUUCAUAAAGCUUGAAUCAGGGUGUAAUUCAUGGUUUUAGCAUUGUUUGAUGUGAUUUGAGGCCUCGAGCAAGUCUGUAAUAUAUUUUGAGACUAGUUAGUAUGAUUGGUUGGGGUCCCGGGGGCCUCGGAUGGAUUCCGGGAGGUUAACGGAUCAAAAAUUAGAUUUUUAGAAGAGCUGAAUUGCUGGUAUCUGGUAUUUCCGCUUCUUCAGAAAUGGGACCGUAGAAGCGGUUGAGCAGGAGGGCAGCCAGGACCGCAGAAACAACCCUUGAUCCGCUGUUGCGGAACCGCAGAAGCGGUAGGGCUGAAUGCAGAAGCGGAAAGCCUGGGGUUGUUUGCAGCCGGAGAAGUGGCUAGCGAUCCUCAGAAGCGGACCGUGGAAACGGGAAAAGCACUGCAGAAGCAAAAAUACCUGAAGGCAGAAGGUUGUUUUAAGUCGUGGGUUGAGUCCAUUUCUCUCAUUUUUAUGGCAUUGGGGCAAUUUUUGGAGCUUAUUGAGAGGGGCUUCCACCUAGCAACUUGAAGGUAAGUUAAUCCUACCUAUGAUAAGUUAAAUACAUAGAUUAUGGAUAGAUUUAACAUGUGAAAUUAUGGAAAUCAUGGGUUUUGGAUGAAAAACCUAGGAUUUGGUAAAAAAGAUUUAACCACGAAAAUUGUUAGGGAUGGAGUAGAAAUCAUAUAUUCUUGAUCCUUAAGUUAUGGGUAAGCUUUAUCUUCGAGAAAUUCAGAUUCCUGUCACGUGGGCCCCAGGCAUUUUGGUUAUUUCACAAAGCGGAGUUGGGAAAUUGUAUAAUUGAAUUGUUAGCAAGUAUUUCAGUAUAUUCUCAGUAGUUUGCCAUUAUUUAGCUAGUUUUGGAGCUCUGUGCGUUGGUUCGAGAUUUCGGAAGGAUGUAAAGGGCCAGUUAUGGAUCUUCGGGCGAUGUUAGUCUCCUUUCUAAUCUUUUGAGGGGUAAUUUACCCCGUAGAUGAGCUAAAUUGAUUAUGAGCUCCUAUUUGUGGGGGCUACAUACGCACGGGGUGACGAGUGUCCGUGCGUAGCUGCUAUUAUGCUAUUGUCCAGGUAGUCUAGGACCCAAAAGCAUGUUAUACUUAGAUUAUUGUGAACCCAUUUAUGGCUUGAAUUUCCUAAUUCACGUUAAAAUUUGUAAAUGAUUUUCAAAGGGGCUAAGCUUCAUUUUCUUAAAAAUUGUUAAAGGAGAAUUGGUUUUACUUGAAUAAAUAUUUCACGAUAAGCUCUUAUUUGUCUGAUUGAGCAUGUGUUCUUAUGUGUACCUGUGUCGCAUGCAUAAUUCGCGAGCAGGGUAUGUGUUUAUUUCUGGAAUGGGACGAACGUCUCGGCAGAUUAAAUAGAUGCACCUAUGGUACGGGCCGCUCUACCCUCGACAGUGCACAAAUUACAUUUAUGUUGGAGCUGACCGUCUACCUCGGUAUGGUUUGCACAUAUUUGUACUGUUGAUUGAACUUAUUAAAGUUGUCACUACAUCACCGUUGCUCGAGAUUUAUUUAUUAUUAAUAAAGAGAACUUAUGGAAAAUUCCUUUGAAAGAAUUAUGUGUUCACUUAUUUCCUCUAUUUGGAUUAGAAUCAUGUUUAUAAAAUAAAUCCUCUAUUUAAUAUAUUUAUUAAUGAUGAAUAAUUUUUCUUUUUCUUUUUCUUUUCUCGUUCUUAUUCUUUCAUUUUUCUUUUCCUUUAUUUUUCUUUUCCUCUUCUUCUUCUUUCCUUUCUUUUUCUUUUCCCCUUCUUAUUCUUCUUUCCUUUCUUUUCCUCCUUCUUUUCUUUUUCCUUCCUUCUUUUCAUUUACUUAUUUUCGGCACUUGCAGUUCUUAAUUAUGCCAUUGAUUCCGAAAGAGGGGUAUGAAAAAAAUAAAAUCGGCUAAGAAAAGGGGUAAAAGGGGAUAAAGUGUUUCGGAUAGCAGAACAAAACGCCUUCGUCAUUUCAAUCUUCAAAAUAUGCCAAAUACAAAAAAAGUACAAUCAAAAUAAAGAAAUCAUACAUAGUUCCUCUUGACUACAUCAGAGUUGAUGGCCAUUUCCACAUAUUUUCCUUCCACAUCUGUUAGAUAUAAUUCACAACUAGAAAAUACUCUAGUUUCAACAAAUGGCCCUUGCCAGUUUGGGGAAAAUUUUCCUUUUGCUUCAGCCUGAUGAGGCAAGAUACGUCUCAGCACUACUCUCCGACUUCAAAACUUCCUCAGAUGCACUUUCUUGUUGCACGCUCUUGCAAUUUUGUUGGUGCAAUUGGCCAUGACUCGCUGAUACUAACGUCUUUUCAUUAAUCAAACUCAAAUGUUUAAGGCGGGUGAAACCAUGAUCAUGUUCGAACUCAUUAUCACACUCAAUUUCUUGUAUUAUUACUUCAGAGUAAGACCUUCUUUCAAGACUGGGCUGAGGAUUCCUCAUGCAUACCAUGUUAUUGAUACCAGCAUAAAAUGAACUGCACAUAUGAAAAAAGCAAACUGAAAUAGAAUUAAGAAUGAUGAAAGAAAGACAAUUGUAUUUCAUUGAAGGAAAAAAUAACAAGGUUUUAACUCAUCAAAACGGACGAAACAUAGUAUAUGGACAAUACACCCUGGAAUAAUCCAGAUAGAUUAAGGAAAAACAAGACCCACUACUAAGACUUCCAGUCAUUGACUUUUACCCAUGGUCAGACGAAAUACACUUUUGCCCUGCUUGACCCUUUCUCUGCUUCAACCAUGUUUACUUCGGCGAACAACAUUUCAUACUUACAUUCCCUUAUAUUUCCCCCCACUUGUUCAUAACUCCAAGGAAUAGUUUUGUUGUUGGUCAAUGGCAACUGAGUUGCUCGCUUUACGAUAACAAGAUCUGUGCAAGCUCCCUUCACAACCAUCAUAGGUUUGUUUGCUACCCCUUGCACCACCACUUUGACUGGCUCGGGUUUCACGGUAACACUGCUUGAUGACCCUUUCUCGAUUACCACAGCUGGCUUACUUUCCACCCCUUUCAAUUGUAUAAUUUGAAUUGUUAGCAAGUAUUUCAGUAUAUUCUCAGUAGUUUGCCGUUAUUUAGCUAGUUUUGGAGCUCUGUGCGUUGGUUCGAGAUUUCGGAAGGAUGUAAAGGGCCAGUUAUGGAUCUUCGGGCGAUGUUAGUCUCCUUUCUAAUCUUUUGAGGGGUAAUUUACCCCGUAGAUGAGCUAAAUUGAUUAUGAGCUCCUAUUUGUGGGGGCUACAUACGCACGGGGUGACGAGUGUCCGUGGAAUUUACCCCGUAGGUGAGCUAAAUUGAUUAUGAGUUCCUAUUUGUGGGGGCUACAUACGCACGGGGUGACGAGUGUCGGUGCGUAGUUGCUAUUAUGCUAUUGUCCAGGUAGUCUAGGACCCAAAAGCAUGUUAUACUUGGAUUGUUGUGAACCCAUUUAUGGCUUGAAUUUCCUAAUUCACAUUAAAAUUUGUAAAUGAUUUUCAAAGGGGUUAAGCUUCAUUUUCUUAAAAAUUGUUAAAGGAGAAUUGGUUUUACUUGUAUAAAUAUUUCACGAUAAGCUCUUAUUUGUCUGAUUGAGCAUGUGUUCUUAUGUGUACUUGUGUCGCAUGCAUGAUUCGCGAGCAGGGUAUGUGUUUAUUUCUGGAAUGGGACGAACGCCUCGGAAGAUUAAAUAGACGCAUCUAUGGUACGGGCCGCUCUACCCUCGACAGCGCACAUUACAUUUAUGUUGGAGCUGACCGUCGACCUCGGUAUGGUUUGCACAUAUUUGUACUGUUGAUUGAAUUUAUUAAAGUUGUCACUACCUCACCGUUGCUCGAGAUUUAUUUGUUAAUAAUAAAGAGAACUUAUGGAAAAUUCCUAUGAAAGAAUUAUGUGUUCACUUAUUUUCUCUAUUUGGAUUAGAAUCAUGUUUAUAAAAUAAAUCCUCUAUUUAAUAUAUUUAUUAAUGAUGAAUAAUUAUUGGACCAUUAGUGAGUGUCAAAGUUGACCAUCUCAUCUCUACUCUUUCGGGAUUAGGCGGGCCACUCAUUAGGUACAUGUUAUUUUUGUACUCAUACCACACUUGCUUUGCAUUGUAUUGCACAGGUAUAUGUGACCCAUCGGUCUGCUAGGCAUAGCAGCGUGGAUGAUCCUGAGACUAGGUGAGUUCCAUCAUUCGAGACGGCCGCAACUAGAGUAGUCCCUUCCUUGUACUGUAUUUACUUUCCGUCCAUUGCAUUCUUGACAGAUGUUGUAUGUUAUUUCUCUUGUCAGUAGAUGCUCAUACACUUGUGACUCCGGGUUGUGGGAUGUUUUGAAGUGCUGUAUUAAUUGUUUAACUUUUAAAUUUAUAUUAAAGUAUAUCCUUUAAGAUCUCUAAAUAAAGUAAGAAAAAGAUAUCUUGUAUCUCAAAAGUGUUAAAACGAGAUUUAAUUUAGCAUUUGAGUUGGCUGGCCUGACAGCGGAGUCCGGCGCCACCACGACUCUUAGUGGAUUUUGGGUCGUGACAAAUUAUCUAACUCCUUAUUUGGAUUAUCAAUUCUCUUCCUACAAAUAUCAUUUAUAAUUUUUUCUGUUAUAGCCUAUUAGUUCACGAAUUUUUGAAACGGUAAUCAAAUCUAAUUUGUGAAAAUUACCUAUAAAUAGGUAAUAAAUUUAUAAUUUCAUCACAUACUCUAUCUAUAUAUUAUGAAAAGAUGAAAAAAGUAUCCACAUUAAGUCAAGUGGUAUUCUGACAAUAGGGCGUUACGCAAUUUACGACAAAGUUUAUUAGGUUAGGUAAUUAUUAGUUUCUAGUAUAAAUUUUAAAAAAUUAAAUUAUAUAUUAUGUGUUUCUAAUAAUUAGUUACUCUUUAGAAUUAUUUUUAUUUUACACUCAAUGUCAUAUUUCAAGAUUGUCACUCAGAAUCAUCUAGUUACAACUACGGUGACGAUACAUAAUUUCACCCGAUGAUAUUGUUCUACCAAUAAGGAAUUCAACUAUUAUACUAAUAAAGACAUUACUACAAAGAAUGAGGAAGGAGAUGAAUCUUUUGAUAUUCCUUUAGAAAUGCAAGGCAAGUCUUCUACUAAUAUGGAUGCAUUGUGUGAUAGAAGCAGAUAUAAAAUUGUUGAAAAAUACUAUCAUGUGGAAGUGGCUUUACUUAUUACUUCAUGAUGGAUUAUCAGCAUAUAGAAAUUUAUGGAAUAUACUUCUAAUUCAUGUGACAUGAUGUAUUUUGAUUACUCAAAUCAUUUUGUAAUAAUAAAUAAUUAUACUAUAUUAUGUACUUUGGUAUAAAUAAUAUAUGUAAAAUUGAGUAAAAUCUUUAUUAUGUUUGUUUACUUUAUAUUUUUAUAUUUUAAUUCAACAAGAUAAAAAAUAAUAAAAGUCUUACAAUAAAUAUUUAAAUUUAUUUUCUCUUUAAAAUAAUUAUAAGAUCUUGGUACUAUCCCUUUUGGUAAUUUGACACUCCAAAGCACUUUUUAGAAAUAUUGGCCAAACACAAUUUGUUUAUCAGAUGUUGCAUAAGUAAUUCUUAAAUGAAUUAGAAAAGAGGUCAAUAUACCUAAGUAACAUGAAGGAGGAUUAUUUGAAAUAAUUCCGGCUUGCCAAAAUGGAUCUUUGUGGGAUAUCUGGGAGUUCACAGUAGACUACAAACGAGGGAUAGACUAAAAGCUUGGGGAUAUAUUGUAGAUGAAACCUGUACAUUAUGCAAAGUAGCAGUAGAGAACAUAGAGCACAUACUCUUCACAUGCCCAUUCUCAAUGAAAAUUUGGGAUGCAAUGCUCAGAUGGAUGAAGAUUAACAGACCAGUGAUGGAUUGGGGAGAUGAACUAGCAUGGGCAGAGCAACACUAUGGUGGAAAAAGUGCAGAAGUAGAGAUACAGAAUGGCACUGGUAGGAUAUAUAUCAUAUUUGGCAAGAGAGAAAUUAUAGAAUUUUUAAAGGAGAUGAACGUACAGUUGAAGUAUUCACAAGAAGCUUAGUUCAAGACAUCCAUGGUAGAGAUUUAGUGAAGAAAAGAUUGGGAAAAUGUCUGCUGGAAUUGAAUUCAUAUCCUAUUGCAUAGAUAAUGUAUAUAAAGUAAAGUAGAAGCAACAGUUUAGCCUGGGGCCAAUGUACAGAACAAGCUGCUAAACAAAUAUUUGUAAUGUUUUACUUGGUAAUAAAAGAUUUAAUACCAAAAAAAUUGGUCAAACACAAACUAUUUUUUUUAAAGUACUUCUGAAAAAGUACUUUUAAAAUAAGUAGAUUUUCGUAGUUUGGCCAAACGGGCUCUAAGUGUAUUUUUUCUCAAAAGUACGAAGCUACUUGUUUUUGGUUCUUCAAAAAUACUUUUGCUUCUACUCAAAAGUAUUUUUUUCUUCUAAAAGCUUGAUCAAAUACUUCUACUUUGAAAAAAAAGUAUUUUUUUUUUGAAAAAAAAAGGUGCUUCUCAAAUAGAAGAAGCUUCGCCAAACAUGCUAUAAGUUUGAUGUUCUGAGAAGCCCGUUUGGCCAUAAACAUUUUUUUUUUUAC
Molecule: long non-coding RNA, 12007 nt
Filed under: Nicotiana benthamiana
Lineage: Eukaryota; Viridiplantae; Streptophyta; Magnoliopsida; Solanales; Solanaceae
Description: long non-coding RNA (NBEN_LNC010321)
Source: RNAcentral